AACCUUGCGCAGUGGCAGUAUCGUAACCAAUGAAGGCCUCCUGAGGUGCGAUUAUUGGCUAGUUGAAAUUUUCUCAGU
RNAcentral lists this small nuclear RNA (78 nucleotides) under Rhodnius prolixus. RNAcentral describes it as "U4 spliceosomal RNA". It matches the Rfam family "U4 spliceosomal RNA". Rfam says of the family: U4 small nuclear RNA (U4 snRNA) is a component of the major U2-dependent spliceosome. Lineage: Eukaryota; Metazoa; Arthropoda; Insecta; Hemiptera; Reduviidae. The record is from Rfam by way of RNAcentral.